This 253-nucleotide ribosomal RNA is filed under the name uncultured bacterium. RNAcentral's name for it is "partial 16S ribosomal RNA". It matches the Rfam family "Bacterial small subunit ribosomal RNA", at positions 524 to 776 of the family's 1533-position model. The record is from RNAcentral.
UACGUAGGUGGCAAGCGUUGUCCGGAAUUAUUGGGCGUAAAGCGCGCGCAGGCGGUCCUUUAAGUCUGAUGUGAAAGCCCACGGCUCAACCGUGGAGGGUCAUUGGAAACUGGGGGACUUGAGUGCAGGAGAGAAGAGUGGAAUUCCACGUGUAGCGGUGAAAUGCGUAGAGAUGUGGAGGAACACCAGUGGCGAAGGCGACUCUUUGGCCUGUAACUGACGCUGAGGCGCGAAGGCCAGGGGAGCAAACGGG